GAUGAACGCUGGCGGCGUGCUUAACACAUGCAAGUCGAACGGGAAAUAUUUCAUUGAGACUUCGGUGGAUUUGAUCUAUUUCUAGUGGCGGACGGGUGAGUAACGCGUGGGUAACCUGCCUUAUACAGGGGGAUAACAGUCAGAAAUGACUGCUAAUACCGCAUAAGCGCACAGGACCGCAUGGUCCGGUGUGAAAAACUCCGGUGGUAUAAGAUGGACCCGCGUUGGAUUAGCUUGUUGGUGGGGUAACGGCCCACCAAGGCGACGAUCCAUAGCCGGCCUGAGAGGGUGAACGGCCACAUUGGGACUGAGACACGGCCCAGACUCCUACGGGAGGCAGCAGUGGGGAAUAUUGCACAAUGGGGGAAACCCUGAUGCAGCGACGCCGCGUGAAGGAAGAAGUAUCUCGGUAUGUAAACUUCUAUCAGCAGGGAAGAUAGUGACGGUACCUGACUAAGAAGCCCCGGCUAACUACGUGCCAGCAGCCGCGGUAAUACGUAGGGGGCAAGCGUUAUCCGGAUUUACUGGGUGUAAAGGGAGCGUAGACGGUGUGGCAAGUCUGAUGUGAAAGGCAUGGGCUCAACCUGUGGACUGCAUUGGAAACUGUCAUACUUGAGUGCCGGAGGGGUAAGCGGAAUUCCUAGUGUAGCGGUGAAAUGCGUAGAUAUUAGGAGGAACACCAGUGGCGAAGGCGGCUUACUGGACGG
Molecule: ribosomal RNA, 707 nt
Filed under: uncultured Lachnospiraceae bacterium
Lineage: Bacteria; Bacillati; Bacillota; Clostridia; Lachnospirales; Lachnospiraceae
Description: bacterial SSU rRNA
Rfam family: Bacterial small subunit ribosomal RNA
Source: RNAcentral